RNAcentral lists this ribosomal RNA (468 nucleotides) under uncultured bacterium. RNAcentral describes it as "partial 16S ribosomal RNA". It matches the Rfam family "Bacterial small subunit ribosomal RNA", at positions 28 to 507 of the family's 1533-position model. The record is from RNAcentral.
GAUGAACGCUGGCGGCGUGCUUAACACAUGCAAGUCGAACGGACAGGCCCUGCUUUUGUGGGUUGCUCGAGUGCCGAACGGGUGAGUAACACGUGAGUAACCUGCCCUUGACUUUGGGAUAACUUCAGGAAACUGGGGCUAAUACCGGAUAGAAGCUCUUGCUGCACGGUGGGGGUUGGAAAGAUUCGGCGGUUGGGGAUGGACUCGCGGCUUAUCAGCUUGUUGGUCGGGUAGUGGCUUACCAAGGCUGUGACGGGUAGCCGGCCUGAGAGGGUGACCGGCCACAAUAGGACUGAGAUACGGCCCAGACUCCUACGGGAGGCAGCAGUGGAGAAUAUUGCACAAUGGGCGGAAGCCUGAUGCAGCAACGCCGCGUGCGGGAUGACGGCCUUCGGGUUGUAAACCGCUUUCGCCUGUGACGAAGCGUGAGUGACGGUAAUGGGUAAAGAAGCACCGGCUAACUACGUG